RNAcentral lists this unclassified non-coding RNA (279 nucleotides) under Clostridioides difficile. Its description in RNAcentral is "16S-23S ribosomal RNA intergenic spacer (ISR)". The record is from RNAcentral. Lineage: Bacteria; Bacillati; Bacillota; Clostridia; Peptostreptococcales; Peptostreptococcaceae.
ACCUACUGUUUAAUUUUGAGGGUUCGUUUUUACGAAUACUCAAAAUUAGCACUUUAAGCAACAGAAUAAACUGAACGCAUGUGAAGUUUGUUUGUUGGCGCUGUGCAUUAGCACUUUAAGCAACGGAAUUUAUUCGUUGGCGCUGUGCGUUAGCACUUUGAAAACUGCAUAUAUAUAUUUAGUGAUAUGACAUCUAAUUUGUAAUAUAUAAAGCUGAUAACUUUUUAAAAUUAUCGAAGUUGAUAGCUUCUAAUCUAUCAAACCUUUUUAACUGGUCAA